UACAGAGGUCCCAAGCGUUGUUCGGAUUCAUUGGGCGUAAAGAGUGCGUAGGCGGCGCGGUAAGUCGGGUGUGAAAUCUCGGGGCUUAACUCCGAAACUGCAUUCGAUACUGCCGUGCUUGAGGACUGGAGAGGAGACUGGAAUUUACGGUGUAGCGGUGAAAUGCGUAGAUAUCGUAAGGAAGACCAGUGGCGAAGGCGGGUCUCUGGACAGUUCCUGACGCUGAGGCACGAAGGCCAGGGGAGCAAACGGG
RNAcentral lists this ribosomal RNA (253 nucleotides) under uncultured bacterium. RNAcentral's name for it is "partial 16S ribosomal RNA". It matches the Rfam family "Bacterial small subunit ribosomal RNA", at positions 524 to 776 of the family's 1533-position model. The record is from RNAcentral.